This 284-nucleotide long non-coding RNA is filed under the name Rosa chinensis. RNAcentral's name for it is "sRNA RchiOBHm_Chr6g0245951". Lineage: Eukaryota; Viridiplantae; Streptophyta; Magnoliopsida; Rosales; Rosaceae. The record is from RNAcentral.
AUGGGCCAGGGUUUCAUAUUUUUAGACUUGGGCUCACUGGUUUCCUUCCCUUUUUGGAAAGGAUUUGGUUGACUCCCAGAAUUGAGGAUGUCGCCAGGGUCCCUACAUUAUCUUUGCUAUUUUAUUUCUUCUUACGUAGUGUAGGGUGUACUGCUAGAUGUGCUUUAGUUUGUUAGCUUAAAAAUGUUGAAUUGUUUAUGUAAUGGCUCUAUCAGACAGCUCAUACAAGCAGGUCAUUAUGUGUUAUUUUGUUGAAUUUCAAUAAUGGACACCGUGUGAUUGAC